RNAcentral lists this transfer RNA (54 nucleotides) under Ictidomys tridecemlineatus (thirteen-lined ground squirrel). Its description in RNAcentral is "Spermophilus tridecemlineatus (thirteen-lined ground squirrel) tRNA". Lineage: Eukaryota; Metazoa; Chordata; Mammalia; Rodentia; Sciuridae. The record is from Rfam by way of RNAcentral.
GGGGAUGUAACUCAGUGGUAGAGUACUAGCCUGAGGUACUGGGUUUCAUCCCCA